Long non-coding RNA from Triticum aestivum (bread wheat), 1746 nucleotides. RefSeq lists it as uncharacterized. The transcript has 4 exons. The record is from RefSeq and is a predicted model, not a curated record. Lineage: Eukaryota; Viridiplantae; Streptophyta; Magnoliopsida; Poales; Poaceae.
GUGGCUAUUAGUCUCUUAUAUGGGCCGAACAACCCAACCGCAGCUGAGGAGAAAAAGUCUGAUCCAGGACUCUUCUCCACCUUCCUUCAAAAAAGGACUCUUCUUCAAUCCGUCCUCCGGUCUCGAGGAAUCCUCUUCGGCGAUGGCAACUCCUCCGCCCUCCUCCUAUAAGAACCUCCUCCUCGCGCGAGCCACCUGAUUUGCUGAGAUCGUGGUAACACGCAAGUGCGGCGCGGAGCUCGCUCAAGGUCGAUGCGCCCCGUGGUGGUGGCGUUCGAGGCGGGUCGGCCCGAGCUGGGUCGAUCCAACCGCCGUCGCCAGCCAUGUGUUCUUGAUCCCGUGGACGACCUCAGCGACAACAAGCAGGAUAGCUACGAUGAAUUGUGGACGGGCCCAGCAGCGUCCUAUGUGCGGGCGCCGGCGACGUUCUUCGCCUUGUGGACGUGCUCCACGUCGAUCCCGGCGAGGACGUCUACAUCUCCGUCCCCAGGGCUUCUAUCGACACCACGAGGUCACCGACAUCACCGCUGGAUGCGCCACAUCUUUCCCUCCCCUACUUCUAGCCAAUGGGCUGCUGCUCUCCUAGACGAGCUACGGUGGCCGCCCACAAGGUGUUUGACGGAAUUCCCAUCAAGGAUGGCAUCACUUGGGCGACCAUAGACUUCGAUGGAGGUUUCCACGACGAAGCAGUAGUUCGGCCUGCUACGCCGGACGCGAGGUUGCCAUCAAGAUGUCAGCAAGCCAUUUAAAGCUGGAAGGAGUGAUAUGAUUCAUGCCUCUUCACACUGUAUACAAUCUGAUGAAGAGGGAAUCAAGGUUCUCUUCUUCUGUCCUGUGAAUAUUUUGUUUUCUAUUUGUAGAAAAACAAAGCAGCAAGCCUCCUCGCAGCUUCCAUUAAAAACCCAUGUGCCAGAAAGUUCUUAGCAUGAAACCAAGUACUACCACAUUUCUGAACUGUGUAUUUUAGUGAAAUCUCUUGGAGUUUAUGGAUCUGGUGGAACAAAUAUUGUUUAGACAUGAUUGUUUUUCUCCAUAGUUACUUUCUAAAUCAUUAUUAUUAUUCUCCUAAUAGUAUACUCUCCAUUUCAUAAAAGUGCAAUUUGAUUUGAGAAUCCGGGGAUGGACGAGACAGGUUUGUACCAAACAAUUUCCUCGGAAAUUUCUUACAAUCCCCUACAAAAUAGACAGUAUGACUAUUAGGAGAACUGUUUGCAAGGGGAUGGACGAGACAGGUUUGUACCAAACAACUUCCUUGGAAAUUUCUUACAAUCCCCUACAAAAUGGACAGUAUGACUAUUAGGAGAACUGUUUGCAAGGGGAUGGACGAGACAUGUUUGUACCAAGCAAUUUCCUUGGGAGUUCUUACAAUCCCCUACAGAACCAUCCUUUUCUUUGUAGGGAAGCAAAUAUUUUGGGUUGUAUCAUACUAACGUGAGACGGAAUGGAUCAGUAUGAGGUGUUGGAUCAGACUUGGAAGGGCUCUUUGGCUCUACACUCCAGGUAUGUCUCCAAGGUUGCAAGGGAUAUGACAUUGCCUUUGUUGUGCUCGGGAAUAAGUGGUCAUGAAAAAUACAGCUCCGCAACUCUGCAACCAAAAAAGCUCUCUGAACUUGCCGCUGAUUCAUCUAACUGCUCCUGCUGCUCUUGGCUGCCUUCGGAUGAAGGUACUGCUUCGGUGCUAGAUUGGAUGGAUAAGCAAGAAAGCAAACCGAAUGGGAAAAGAUUGGGAGCAUAUGCAUUGGUUUG